GUAUUUGCUUCAGCAACAUGUGUACUAAAAUUGGAAUGAUACAGAGAUUAGCAUGGCUUCUGUGGCAUGCAAAUUCAUGGAGCAAUCCAUAUUUCA
This 96-nucleotide small nuclear RNA is filed under the name Procavia capensis (Cape rock hyrax). Lineage: Eukaryota; Metazoa; Chordata; Mammalia; Hyracoidea; Procaviidae. The record is from RNAcentral.